This 4068-nucleotide ribosomal RNA is filed under the name Triticum aestivum (bread wheat). RNAcentral describes it as "partial small subunit ribosomal RNA". Lineage: Eukaryota; Viridiplantae; Streptophyta; Magnoliopsida; Poales; Poaceae. The record is from RNAcentral.
AUGGAGACGGCCAUCGGUGCGGCCGGUUGGCUGCUGGGCAAGGUGCUUACGAAACUGUCCGAGGACCUUGUGGCCGCGUACGUGUCCAGCAACGAGCUGGGCCUCAACUUCCACGACAUCAAACUGAAGCUCCUCUACACACAAGGGCUGCUGCAUGCAUCCGAGGGGAGGGACAUGAGCAACAACCCUGGCCUCUAUGGAUUACUCGGGGAGCUGAGCAAGAAGGCGGAUGAGGCCGAGGACAUGCUCGAUGAGAUCCACUACUUCAUGAUCCAGGACCAGCUCGACGGCACCAAGGAGGCAGCCCCAGAACUGGGCGAUGGCGUCCGGGGCUCUGCCCUUCAUGUCCGUCAUGCUGCUCGCCACACCAUCGGUAACUGGAUUCCUUGCUUUUCUUGCUCGCGUACUCAAGGUGGUGAUUCUUCUGUUGAUGUUGUCACUAGUGACAAUGAUGGUGGGCCUGUUCAUAAGUUGUCUUUUGACAGAGUGGAUAUGUCCAACAAAAUCAGGUCGGUAAUAGAGGAAUUGAACUCCAUGUGUGGACCUGUCUCUGACUUGCUCAAAAUUCCAAACCAUAGUAACACUGCAACAAGCACACCUAUCACUCUCAAAAAGCCACCCACGGGUUCAGUAUCUGCACAAGAUAAACUGUAUGGGAGGGAAGUCAUCUUUGAGCAAACUAUAAAUGAGCUCACUGGUACAAAAUAUCUUGGUGAAACCCUUUCUGUUAUGUCUUUUGUUGGCCCUGGGGGUAUGGGAAAGACAACCUUCACCCAACACUUGUAUAAUGAGAAAAGGGUUGAGGAGCACUUCAUUGUUAGGGUCUGGGUAUGUGUCUCAACUGGUUUUGAUGUGACCAACCUCACCCGGCAGACCCUUAGGUGCAUACCUGCAGUUGAAAAAGAAGAAUACAAAUGUACAGUUGAAACAGCCAGUUUAGACCAGCUUCAAAAAUCCAUUAUAGAAAGAUUGAAGUCCAAAAGGUUCUUAAUUGUCUUGGAUGACAUUUGGACAUGCAACAAUGAAAGUGAUUGGAACGACCUGUUAGUUCCAUUCAAACAGGGGGAAAUUAAGGGAAGCAUGGUUCUUGUCACAACUCGGUUUCCAUCAGUAGUACAAAUGGUGAAAACAACUGAACCAGUAGAACUGCAUGGUUUGAAAGAUGAUGAUUUUUUAAAAUUACUUGAAGCAUGCAUAUUUCCGGAAAACAAACCUAGGCAUUAUGAAGAUCAAUUAAUUGAUGUUGCAAAGGAUAUUGCGAAGGAACUAAAGGGUUCACCCCUAGCCGCCAAUACAGUUGGUCGUUUAUUGAGGAAAAACAUUUCCCUGGAAUAUUGGAUUGAAGUUCUUGAAAAUGAUGAGUGGCAAAAUGCAAAAAAUACUGAUGAUAUUUUACCAUCCCUGAAAAUUAGCUACGAUUACCUUCCUUUCUUUCUAAAAAAAUGUUUUUCAUAUUGUGCCCUUUUCCCAGAAGAUUACAAGUUCUAUAAUUUACAAACUACUAGCUUUUGGACUGCGAUAGGUAUAUUGGACUCUAGUUGCCAACACGAUAAGAACUCUAGUUUCCAACAUGAUAAGAAUUACUUAGAAGAACUAGUAGACAAUGGUUUCCUCAUGAAGAGAGUUGAUAUUUAUAAUGACCAAUACUAUGUGAUGCAUGAUUUAUUGCAUGAACUAUCCCGGAAUGUUUCAUCGCAAGAAUGUGUGAAUAUAAGGUGUUCAAGUUUUAGUACAGAUAACAUCCCACAAUCUGUUAGGCACUUAUCAAUCACUAUAGAAGAUAUAUGCGAUGAAAGUUUUGAAGAAGAAAUGGGUAAACUGAAGGGUAGAAUAGACAUUGGAAAUUUGCGGACUUUGAUGAUUUUUGGGUCGCCUAAUGCAAGAAUAGCUAAUAUUUUUAAAGAUGUUUUUGAAGAAAUCAAAGGUCUUCGAAUUCUUUUUAUAGCAAUUAACACUAUAGAAUCUUUGCCCAAGAGCUUUCCAAAUCUUAUCCACCUCCAAUACCUUAAAAUUAGUUCACCCGACCCCUUAGAAGAAAUGACUUUACCUAGCACAUUGUCUAGAUUUAACCACUUGAAAUUUCUGGACCUCAAUCUUUGGCGUGGUAGUGAAAAUUUGCCCAAAGACUUUAGUCGCCUUAUAAAUUUACGCCAUUUUUUCUCUUCUAAAGAACUCCAUUCCAAUAUUCCUGAGGUUGGAAAGAUGAAGUGUUUACAUGAGCUAAAAGAGUUCAAUGUUAAGAAAGAGGGUGUUGGAUUUGAACUGAAAGAGCUGGGGGAUUUGCGAGAGCUGGGAGGAGAACUCUGCAUAUGUAAUCUUGAAAUUGUGGCGUCCAAAGGAGAAGCUAGUGCUGCCAAACUGAAAAAUAAAAGAAAUCUGAAAAAGCUAAGAUUAGUUUGGGGUGCAGAGCACAAGACUGUAGAUGAUGAUGUUCUUGAAGGUCUUGAACCACAUCCUGAUCUUAGGGUGCUUAGCAUUACGAAUGCUGGAGUUGCCACUUGUCCUAGAUGGUUGUGUGAUGACUUAAGCACAAAAAGGUUGGAGUCUCUUCAUCUAGAAGGUAUAUCUUGGGUCACUCAUCCAGCUUUUGAGCAGCUACCACACCUCACCAAGCUCACAUUGAAGAGUAUUUCUGGAAUGCGUGUAUUGAGGCUUGGCUUUAGUACUGUUACAGGAAGAAGCUUCACGCACCUGAAGACACUUGAUUUGACGGACAUGCCAGAACUUGUGGAGUGGGUUGGGGAGCCUAAUAGCAAUCUGUUUUCAAGGCUUGAAAGUAUCUCGCUUGAAGAUUGUCCCUCUCUCUGCUCGUUUCCCUUCUUGGAGUACUCUCACCUAUUUACUAACUUGUUCAGUCUUGAUAUUAGAUACUGCCCCAAGCUGUCUCAGUUUCCACCCAUGCCUCGUACCUCCACACUAUCAAAUAUGCAAUUGUUCAAUCGUAGCUCAUCAGUAGUAUUGCACGGAAAGAAGAAAUUCAGAAUUAAACAGUAUAAAGGUGCUUUGGCCUUCCACAAUUUGGAUGAAGUAGAGGAUAUGCGAAUUGUGGGUGGGCCACACAUUUCGUGUUCAAGCCUCAAAAAACUAAACUCCCUGAGAAGUGUACAUUUUGAAGAAUGCGACGACAUGUUUUUUGCAGAACAAGAUGAUGCUGUUGUUCUCCAUUCUGUUCAGAAUCUUGUAAUAAGUGAUUCACGUAUUACUGGAGAAUCAUUUUCAAAUGCUUUGAAACUUUUGCCAGCUCUUUCCCAGGUUAUCUUAGACAAGUGUAAGAGGCUUGAAUUUCUGCCUGUGGAGGAUGGAGGACUCUCGGGCCUCAGGAUGCUCCAAUCAUUUAGAGGAUUGGGAUGUGGGAAUCUGUUCUCUCGGUGGCACAAGGGAGAAGUAGGUGGAGGUGGUCAUGCCAUCAAGCCUUUCCCUACUUCCCUCAGGGAACUUGACAUUUCCUUCGAGUUAAGCAUAGAGUCAAUGGGUCUGCUCUCAAACCUCACGUCUCUCACCAGUCUAAGCUUGAAGGUUUGCAAAGAAUUAACAAUGGAUGGCUUCAAUCCUCAAAUCACAGUCAACCUCAAGCAAUUGGUUUUAUAUGCGAACAAGUUUAUAGCUGGGGAUCUGCUGUCAGAGAUUGCAAGGAGCAAACUAAUGCAUGCAGGUUCAUUCCAGUUGGAAGAAUUAGAGGUGGAUAGCAUCUCGGCCGUGCUUACUGUUCCCAUCUGCAGCCACCUUGCUGCUACCCUCCACACAUUGCGGUUCACUAUUGAUAAGCUGGCAACAACCUUCACGGAAGAGCAAGAGCAAGCGCUCCUGCUCCUCACCUCCCUCAAAAAUCUAGAAUUUGAAUGGUGCAAGAAUCUAGAGUCCUUCCCUCGAGUGCUACGUGGCCUUUCUACCCUCAAGAGAUUAAGGAUCUAUAUGUGUGAUAAAAUCCUAUGCUUGCCGUCAAAGGAGAGCCUCCCUGCUUCACUGGAAACGCUAGUGGUAUGGUGUGAUAGUCCUGAGCUAACUGAGCAAGCCAAAAAACUGAAAGGAAGUGAACCAUGGUUUUCUGUGAAAGGAUACGGGCUAUAG